RNAcentral lists this ribosomal RNA (253 nucleotides) under uncultured bacterium. RNAcentral's name for it is "partial 16S ribosomal RNA". It matches the Rfam family "Bacterial small subunit ribosomal RNA", at positions 524 to 776 of the family's 1533-position model. The record is from RNAcentral.
UACGUAGGUGGCAAGCGUUGUCCGGAUUUAUUGGGUUUAAAGGGUGCGUAGGCGGUCUUAUAAGUCAGUGCUGAAAUAUCCCGGCUUAACCGGGAGGGUGGCAUUGAUACUGUAGGACUUGAGUGAAGUCGAGGUAGGCGGAAUUGACGGUGUAGCGGUGAAAUGCUUAGAUAUCGUCAAGAACACCAAUAGUGAAGACAGUUUACUAGACUUCAACUGACGCUGAGGCACGAAAGCGUGGGGAGCGAUCCGG